CAGCCGCCGCGGGAAUACGAAGGGUGCAAGCGUUAAUCGGAAUUACUGGGCGUAAAGCGUGCGUAGGCGGUGAGUUAAGUCUGCUGUGAAAUCCCCGGGCUCAACCUGGGAAUGGCAGUGGAUACUGGCUCGCUAGAGUGUGUCAGAGGAUGGUGGAAUUCCCGGUGUAGCGGUGAAAUGCGUAGAGAUCGGGAGGAACAUCAGUGGCGAAGGCGGCCAUCUGGGACAACACUGACGCUGAGGCACGAAAGCGUGGGGAGCAAACAGGAUUAGAUACCCCAGUAGUCCCUGUCUCUUAUAC
Molecule: ribosomal RNA, 301 nt
Filed under: uncultured bacterium
Lineage: Bacteria
Description: partial 16S ribosomal RNA
Rfam family: Bacterial small subunit ribosomal RNA
Source: RNAcentral